This 27-nucleotide non-coding RNA is filed under the name unclassified sequences. Its description in RNAcentral is "L31-Firmicutes ribosomal protein leader". It matches the Rfam family "L31-Firmicutes ribosomal protein leader". The record is from RNAcentral.
CUCUGUAUUAAUACAGGGCGGAAGGAG